Molecule: long non-coding RNA, 123 nt
Organism: Dipodomys ordii (Ord's kangaroo rat)
Lineage: Eukaryota; Metazoa; Chordata; Mammalia; Rodentia; Heteromyidae
Exons: 3
Source: RefSeq, a predicted model, not a curated record
UGUCCCUGUGCUCUUCAGCUCAAGGUGAGCUAGUGCUCUACCACUUGAGCUACAGUUCUACUUCCAGUUUUCUGGUCGUUUAUUGGAGAUAAGAGUUUCAUGGACUUUCCUGCCCGGGCUGGC